Molecule: ribosomal RNA, 439 nt
Filed under: uncultured bacterium
Lineage: Bacteria
Description: partial 16S ribosomal RNA
Rfam family: Bacterial small subunit ribosomal RNA
Source: RNAcentral
CUACGGGUCGCUGCAGUGGGGAAUAUUGCACAAUGGAGGAAACUCUGAUGCAGCAACGCCGCGUGGAGGAUGACACUUUUCGGAGCGUAAACUCCUUUUAUAUAGGAAGAUAAUGACGGUACUAUAUGAAUAAGCACCGGCUAACUCCGUGCCAGCAGCCGCGGUAAUACGGAGGGUGCAAGCGUUACUCGGAAUCACUGGGCGUAAAGAGCGUGUAGGCGGAUAGAUAAGUCAGGAGUGAAAUCCUAUGGCUCAACCAUAGAACUGCUCUUGAAACUGUCUAUCUAGAAUAUGGGAGAGGUAGAUGGAAUUUCUGGUGUAGGGGUAAAAUCCGUAGAGAUCAGAAGGAAUACCGAUUGCGAAGGCGAUCUACUGGAACAUUAUUGACGCUGAGACGCGAAAGCGUGGGGAGCAAACAGGAUUAGAUACCCUCGUAGUC